RNAcentral lists this ribosomal RNA (497 nucleotides) under uncultured bacterium. RNAcentral describes it as "partial 16S ribosomal RNA". It matches the Rfam family "Bacterial small subunit ribosomal RNA", at positions 28 to 507 of the family's 1533-position model. The record is from RNAcentral.
GAUGAACGCUGGCGGCGUGCCUAAUACAUGCAAGUCGAGCGAACGGACGAGAAGCUUGCUUUUCUGAUGUUAGCGGCGGACGGGUGAGUAACACGUGGAUAACCUACCUAUAAGACUGGGAUAACUUCGGGAAACCGGAGCUAAUACCGGAUAAUAUUUUGAACCGCAUGGUUCAAAAGUGAAAGACGGUCUUGCUGUCACUUAUAGAUUGAUCCGCGCUGCAUUAGCUAGUUGGUAAGGUAACGGCUUACCAAGGCAACGAUGCAUAGCCGACCUGAGAGGGUGAGCGGCCACACUGGAACGGAGACACGGUCCAGACUCCUACGGGAGGCAGCAGUAGGGAAUCUUCCGCAAUGGGCGAAAGCCUGACGGAGCAACGCCGCGUGAGUGAUGAAGGUCUUCGGAUCGUAAAACUCUGUUAUUAGGGAAGAACAUAUGUGUAAGUAACUGUGCACAUCUUGACGGUACCUAAUCAGAAAGCCACGGCUAACUACGUG